This 2471-nucleotide long non-coding RNA is filed under the name Equus caballus (horse). RNAcentral describes it as "lncRNA (ENSECAG00000040433.3)". Lineage: Eukaryota; Metazoa; Chordata; Mammalia; Perissodactyla; Equidae. The record is from RNAcentral.
GUGAAAGAUACAAGGCAGAGGGCAACAUGAACUCUGCCCUCGGGGCAUUCAAAAUCUCCUAGGAGAGAACUGCCAUUGCACAAGUAAGCAUAAUACAAGUUAAAAGUGAAUUUGCCAUCAAAUGGGUCUAAAUAAAGGGCUAUGAGAGAUCAGAGGAAGAAAAGCAGUCCUCUCAGCUUUGGUCAGGUUUGGUCCACAAACAAAUCAAAUUCUUAUUAAUUAGGUUCUUGUUCUGUCUCCUACUGUCACUGACAAACUAAAUUGCUUCAAAAAUAAUCCUCUCCCAUGGGAGAUCUUACAGACAGACCCUAAUUGCCCCACCAAACUGCUUAGAAUUGAGCUCUGAAAAGAACUACAAAAGAGGUCAAAGGGGGCAAACAAGAGAUUUUAAAAUAUUUGGUUUUAAAGGAUAUGAGUAGUAGGAUACCAAAGCCUGAGGGUGCACAGCUGAGGUCAAUUGGUAUUAAUUGCUAACACCUAGAGGUAAUUAGCAAUAAUUACCCAAAGGAGGGAAGGGAGCAGCCAGAAGGACUUAAAGGCAGUAUUUCCAGGAACUCCUACCACACUGGGAACCUAAUAGUUUCUCAGUAAGAGGAAAUAAAUGUUUUCCACAGCAAUUUGUUUAGUUUUUAAAUUGCACUACAAAGAAACGCCUGAGGGAAGCUUAUGUAUAUACUAUUAAAACUUGUAGGUCCUCCUAUCCAGAGGUGAAGAUUUUUGCCCAUCCAUUGAGUCUGAGCUGGUCUUAUGAUUUGCUGUAACUAGAAGAGUGCAGGGAAAGUGAAAUUUACAUUACUUCUGUUGCUGGGUCUUAAAAGACCUUGCAGCCUCCACUUAGACCUUUUAGGAAUGCUGUGCUGAGAUCAUCUUGUGAGGAAGCUGGUCUAGCCUACUGGAGGAUGAGCAAAGUUGCAUAGAAGAUCCCGGCAUCCAGACGGAUGGCACCAACUCCAGAUGCAUGUCACACCAUCCCUGCAUCUCUGGAAUGAAUCCCACCUGAUCAAGGGUAAUGAAGGCUUCAUAGAAGGAGUUAGGAAGACUCCCCUCCUCUUCAAUUUUUUGGAAGACUUUGAGAAGGAGAACCUCUUUGUGAGAAGGCUGGUCCAUACCAAGGUUCUAAUCUGCAAUUAUCUAGAAGAACAAAGCCUGUCCAGAAGAUAUUGAACUUACAACAGUUGUCUACAAUCAUAUUUUUCUAAAUGAAGAUUUGCCAACUUUCAGCAAACAGAAGUAGGAUGAGCAGGAAGAUACACACGAAGGAAAUUUAUGUGGACCAGUUCUGUAGUAGUGCUUGUCCCUCUCGCGACAUUCAUAUUAGCACAUUUAACUGUUAAGGAGGCUGGGAAAAGUCAUCUAGCUGUGCGCUCAGGAGGAAGAGAAAAUGGUUUGGAAGAACAGCACUAGGAGCCUGCUAUGGUGCCUUCAACAAAUGGGAGUUUGUUUUUCUUCUGUUCAAGACGUCUCAAGAGAAAACUGAAGAAAAAAACCCGAACAAACCUGAAAGAAGACCAUAGAAAAGGAGUCACCCAAAAGAGUGAAAAAAUAUAUUUAGUAAAGGACUCAAAACUUUUAGAAGGGAGGGCCAGGCACGUGAGAGGUACACGCUAUGUGCCACUGCUUCUGACGCUGCCAUGGUUAACACGACGGGGUCAAAGCCACUUCACAGUUUUGCUUCAGAAGCCACAAAAGACUUCCUGUGAUGUCAGGCAGCCUGCAGUAACCCAAAUGGUCGCCCCAAAAGGCACAUCCCUGACAAAGAGUCUUUGACAGACUUAGUUACUUUCAGUGCCAGUCACUGCCUUGCUGGAAGUCUGUCUGGAUGUCCCUUCUGCAAAGCAACUAAGUCCCUCCAGCAUCAAAGUGAGAAUAAAAAUAUCUUGACAAGCUCAUCUCUCUUUUUGAAUCCCUUGGACACUUGGGCACUGGUGUGCUCUGAAUCCAGGAUCGUGCUGGGAGAGCAGUAAGCUGAUGGCUGUGGAAUGUGCCCUUGGAAAUGGAAUGGCCUGGAGGUGGGGAAUUUCAGCCAGGUGCUGGCACCAAAGGAGAUUUAAGCAAAUUCUUCUCAGAUUUGUGCAUAGAGAUAUGAUUUUCUUAAAAUUAAAAACUCAUAAUGUGAAAAUUCUCAUUAGAAAACAGAAAAACAUUUUGACUUAGCUUGUCAGGGAACAUACAACUUAUUUCAGGUUAUUAUUUUCUUUUUGAAGACUUAUAUUUUAAAAAUGUAACAAAAACAAAAUUAAGACUAAUUUUACCACUUGCUGAAUGGGAAAGUGAGACUUGUUUUGAGAAUGGACCUAGCUAGGGGAGUCUUAUGUUUUUUUUGCUUUCACAGCCCUGGCUCUACAAACGAUUCCAGAACAAUACAUAUAUUAAAAACUUUGUUCUGCUUCAUAAAAACUGGCUUUCUCUGUUAAACUUUGUGUUUUUGGGGUGCCCUCUGUAUCCUUCAUGGAUAUAAUUUCUGAUUCUUU